Molecule: long non-coding RNA, 228 nt
Filed under: Elaeis guineensis (African oil palm)
Lineage: Eukaryota; Viridiplantae; Streptophyta; Magnoliopsida; Arecales; Arecaceae
Description: long non-coding RNA (EGUI_LNC071207)
Source: RNAcentral
CUCAAUCCGGACACCUCUAACCUUGAUAUCAAUAACUCUAUUUUCAGAUUUCAAAUUAGCAUAAAAUUUCCUUACAAGAUUGGGGUAGGUCAAAAUGUCAAGUGAGCACAAGUAUUCCCACCCUAAUUUUUUAAUUUUCUACCCAAAAAUGAAACCCUCCAUUUUCAAGAAUUCAAAAUCUACUUUCCUUUUGAUAGAAACUACUUUAGAAGAAGUAGACCUAAAGGU